Molecule: ribosomal RNA, 443 nt
Filed under: uncultured Oscillospiraceae bacterium
Lineage: Bacteria; Bacillati; Bacillota; Clostridia; Eubacteriales; Oscillospiraceae
Description: partial 16S ribosomal RNA
Source: RNAcentral
GACUACCGGGGUAUCUAAGCCUGUUUGCUCCCCACGCUUUCGCGCCUCAGCGUCAGUUAAUGUCCAGCAGGCCGCCUUCGCCACUGGUGUUCCUCCGUAUAUCUACGCAUUUCACCGCUACACACGGAAUUCCGCCUGCCUCUCCAUCACUCAAGAACCACAGUUUCAAAUGCAGGCUAUGGGUUGAGCCCAUAGUUUUCACAUCUGACUUGCAGUCCCGCCUACACGCCCUUUACACCCAGUAAAUCCGGAUAACGCUUGCCACCUACGUAUUACCGCGGCUGCUGGCACGUAGUUAGCCGUGGCUUAUUCAUCAGGUACCGUCAUUUUUUUCGUCCCUGAUAAAAGAAGUUUACAACCCGAGGGCCUUCUUCCUUCACGCGGCGUUGCUGGGUCAGGCUUGCGCCCAUUGCCCAAUAUUCCCCACUGCAGCCGCCCGUAGG